RNAcentral lists this long non-coding RNA (813 nucleotides) under Marmota monax (woodchuck). The record is from RNAcentral. Lineage: Eukaryota; Metazoa; Chordata; Mammalia; Rodentia; Sciuridae.
GGCAGAACUAAUAUUAUCCAAAUGACAAUACUACCAAAAAGAAAAGUUGAAUUCUACCAGACCUUUAAAGAAGAAAUAUGUUGAAUAGAAAUGGUGAAAGAGGGCAUCCAUGUCUUGUUCCAGUUUUUAGAGAGAAUGCCUUUAAUUUUUCUCCAUUUAGAAUGAUGUUCGCCUGAGGCUUAGCAUAGAUAGCCUUUACACUGUUGAUAUAUGUUCCUGUUAUCCCUAGUUUUUCUAGUGUUUUGAACAUGAUGUUUUUUGUCAAAUGCUUUUUCUGCAUCUAUUGAGAUGAUCAUAUGAUUCUUAUCUUUGAAUCUGUUGAUGUGAAGAAUUGCAUUUAUUGAUUUCCGUUUGUUGAACCAACCUUGCAUCCCUGGGAUGAAUCCCAUUUGAUCAUGGUGCACAAUCUUUUUGAUAUGUUUUUGUAUUCGAUUUGCCAGAAUUUUGAGAAUUUUUGCAUCCACGUUUGUUAAACAUAUUGGUCUAAAGUUUUCUUUCUUUGAUGUAUCUUUGCCUGAUUUUGGGAUCAGGGUGAAAUUGGCCUCAUAGAAUGAGUUUGGAAGUGCUGCCUCUUUUUCUAUUUCCUGAAAUAAAUUGUAGAGUAUUGGUAUUAAUUCUUCUUUAAAGGUCUUGUAGAACUCGGCUGUGUAUCCAUCUGGUCCUGGGCUUUUCUUGGUUGGUAAGGAAAGAGGUGAAAGAUCAAUACAAUGAAAACUACAGAACCCUAAAGAAAGAAAUCAGAGAAAACCUUAGAAGAUGGAAAGAUUACCUUGCUCUUGGAUAGGCAGAACUAAUAUUAUCCAAAUGACCAUA